This 70-nucleotide transfer RNA is filed under the name Lamprotula scripta. RNAcentral's name for it is "tRNA-Trp". The record is from RNAcentral. Lineage: Eukaryota; Metazoa; Mollusca; Bivalvia; Unionida; Unionidae.
UAUGAGGAUAGAGGUUUAAGUUAAACAAACUAAUAGCCUUGAAAGCUAUAAUUGGUCCACAACCAAUCUC